UCUUCUGCCCAGUCCACGGUGCUCAAACACAGACUGUUGCUUUCAGUUACUCUGAAGAUGGAGUCUGCUUAUUAUAUCGGAAAUCAUAACCCGAAUUUGGCAAUAUGAGCAAUAGAAAGGCAAGGCUGCCAUUGAAACCCCAAAUGAACCCCGAGAAUCAUAUGUUGAGACCGGCCGCUCUCAGGCAUUUGCAGAGGGCAGUCACAAUCAAGGGCGAACUCGGCAAUGUCGAACCUAAUCAAGUGCUCCACAAGGCCCAGUCAAGGAAGAUGCAGGCAAAUAGAGGUUGCUUCAUGUACCUUUUAAAAAUUGUAGUUAAAUUUGACGACUUUUUCAUUUAACAAAAUUAUGCGACAGACCUGCAUUCAUUCAGGUAUUCAAGUCACAGUUAUUGAAAAAGCAAGCAUGCUAUCAGAAAUAUAAAGAACUCUUUGAAUCUGAUACUUGUUCUUUCCACAACACAUGUAUUCAAAUAUAUGGAAAUGU
Long non-coding RNA from Artibeus jamaicensis (Jamaican fruit-eating bat), 486 nucleotides. RefSeq lists it as uncharacterized. The transcript is spliced from 3 exons. The record is from RefSeq and is a predicted model, not a curated record. Lineage: Eukaryota; Metazoa; Chordata; Mammalia; Chiroptera; Phyllostomidae.